ACAGCAGUAGCCGCGGUAACACGUAGGUGGCAAGCGUUGUCCGGAAUUAUUGGGCGUAAAGGGCUCGCAGGCGGUUCCUUAAGUCUGAUGUGAAAGCCCCCGGCUCAACCGGGGAGGAUCAUUGGAAACUGGGAAACUUGAGUGCAGAAGAGGAGAGUGGAAUUCCACGUGUAGCGGUGAAAUGCGUAGAGAUGUGGAGGAACACCAGUGGCGAAGGCGACUCUCUGGUCUGUAACUGACGCUGAGGAGCGAAAGCGUGGGGAGCGAACAGGAUUAGAGACCCCUGUAGUCCCUGUCUCUUAUAU
Molecule: ribosomal RNA, 305 nt
Filed under: uncultured bacterium
Lineage: Bacteria
Description: partial 16S ribosomal RNA
Rfam family: Bacterial small subunit ribosomal RNA
Source: RNAcentral